CUGGAUAGACAGGAAGGCUUUUAUUUUGACGUGUGCAUAGACAGGAAGCAGGAAAUGCAGAGAACCAGGGAAAAGCAUGGCUACACCUUUGUAAUCAUUCAUGUGGAAUCCAAAACAAUCCUUCAAAGGAGUCCUUCAGAAAGCAAUGGUUUUUCACUCCAGUUCCAUGAUGUCAGUUCAAGAUGAUUACUAUGUCUGGAGUCAUUAAAGGAGGAAGUACGCUCACCUUCUUGGCUCUUGAAAAGGAGUUUGGCUGGCUGUUUAUCUAUGUUCACACUCAGGGAGUUUAACACAGAGAGAGAACAGUACAGUGAAAGACCACAUUCGUCAGAGGGAUUCUCCAGCAUAGUUUUUGGCUCCAAACACUUUGUGUUUAAGUUCCUAAUCUUUGUUUUCUUUGUGAACAACAUCUGGAGCUUUUUGACUCAUAGAAACAUCAUUUUGUUCUUUAGAUGACAGCAGAUUGGGACUGAAUAAUCAAUCACUAUCAAACC
Molecule: long non-coding RNA, 494 nt
Organism: Oreochromis niloticus (Nile tilapia)
Lineage: Eukaryota; Metazoa; Chordata; Actinopteri; Cichliformes; Cichlidae
Exons: 2
Source: RefSeq, a predicted model, not a curated record